CCUUCUACAGUGAUCAACUAUUCUCCGAACUCCUUCCGAACUUUGUCAAUAUUCGAGCUUCUUCGACAAUGAGGUUUCUACAGUAAUCGGACUCCAUCCGAAUUUCUACGAUGGUCGACCGCCUUCAAGAUUCUAACCGGGCUCCUGUGAGAGCCGAACUUCUACUACAAGCAGUCUACUCCGAACUUCUACUACGAGCGGUCUAUUCUGAACUUCUACUAUGAGCUGUCUACUCCAAACUUCUACUACGAGCGGUCUACUCCGAACUUCUAAUAUGAGCGGUCUACUC
This 289-nucleotide long non-coding RNA is filed under the name Elaeis guineensis (African oil palm). Its description in RNAcentral is "long non-coding RNA (EGUI_LNC039452)". Lineage: Eukaryota; Viridiplantae; Streptophyta; Magnoliopsida; Arecales; Arecaceae. The record is from RNAcentral.